UACGAAGGGGGCGAGCGUUGUUCGGAUUUAUUGGGCGUAAAGAGCGUGUAGGCGGCCAGGUAGGUCUGCUGUGAAAACUCGAGGCUUAACCUCGAGAUGUCGGCGGAAACCAUCUGGCUAGAGUCCGGAAGAGGAGAGUGGAAUUCCUGGUGUAGCGGUGAAAUGCGCAGAUAUCAGGAAGAACACCCGUGGCGAAGGCGGCUCUCUGGGACGGUACUGACGCUGAGACGCGAAAGCGUGGGGAGCGAACAGG
This 253-nucleotide ribosomal RNA is filed under the name uncultured bacterium. RNAcentral's name for it is "partial 16S ribosomal RNA". It matches the Rfam family "Bacterial small subunit ribosomal RNA", at positions 524 to 776 of the family's 1533-position model. The record is from RNAcentral.